This 406-nucleotide ribosomal RNA is filed under the name uncultured bacterium. RNAcentral's name for it is "partial 16S ribosomal RNA". It matches the Rfam family "Bacterial small subunit ribosomal RNA", at positions 30 to 526 of the family's 1533-position model. The record is from RNAcentral.
AUUGAACGCUGGCGGCAGGCCUAACACAUGCAAGUCGAACGAGUGGCGGACGGGUGAGUAAUGUCUGGGGAACUGCCUGAUGGAGGGGGAUAACUACUGGAAACGGUAGCUAAUACCGCAUACCAUCGGAUGUGCCCAUAUGGGAUUAGCUUGUAGGUGGGGUAACGGCUCACCUAGGCGACGAUCCCUAGCUGGUCUGAGAGGAUGACCAGCCACACUGGGACUGAGACACGGCCCAGACUCCUACGGGAGGCAGCAGUGGGGAAUAUUGCACAAUGGGCGCAAGCCUGAUGCAGCCAUGCCGCGUGUAUGAAGAAGGCCUUCGGGUUGUAAAGUACUUUCAGCCGGGAGGCGUUACCGGCAGAAGAAGCACCGGCUAACUCCGUGCCAGCAGCCGCGGUAAUAC